GAUGAACCACCUUCGGGUGGGGAUUAGUGGCGAACGGGUGAGUAACACGUGGGCAAUCUGCCCUGCACUCUGGGACAAGCCCUGGAAACGGGGUCUAAUACCGGAUAUGAGCUUCCACCGCAUGGUGGGGGCUGUAAAGCUCCGGCGGUGCAGGAUGAGCCCGCGGCCUAUCAGCUUGUUGGUGAGGUAACGGCUCACCAAGGCGACGACGGGUAGCCGGCCUGAGAGGGCGACCGGCCACACUGGGACUGAGACACGGCCCAGACUCCUACGGGAGGCAGCAGUGGGGAAUAUUGCACAAUGGGCGCAAGCCUGAUGCAGCGACGCCGCGUGAGGGAUGACGGCCUUCGGGUUGUAAACCUCUUUCAGCAGGGAAGAAGCGAAAGUGACGGUACCUGCAGAAGAAGCGCCGGCUAACUACGUGCCAGCAGCCGCGGUAAUACGUAGGGCGCGAGCGUUGUCCGGAAUUAUUGGGCGUAAAGAGCUCGUAGGCGGCUUGUCGCGUCGGUUGUGAAAGCCCGGGGCUUAACCCCGGGUCUGCAGUCGAUACGGGCAGGCUAGAGUUCGGUAGGGGAGAUCGGAAUUCCUGGUGUAGCGGUGAAAUGCGCAGAUAUCAGGAGGAACACCGGUGGCGAAGGCGGAUCUCUGGGCCGAUACUGACGCUGAGGAGCGAAAGCGUGGGGAGCGAACAGGAUUAGAUACCCUGGUAGUCCACGCCGUAAACGGUGGGCACUAGGUGUGGGCAACAUUCCACGUUGUCCGUGCCGCAGCUAACGCAUUAAGUGCCCCGCCUGGGGAGUAC
Molecule: ribosomal RNA, 802 nt
Filed under: Streptomyces sp.
Lineage: Bacteria; Bacillati; Actinomycetota; Actinomycetes; Kitasatosporales; Streptomycetaceae
Description: bacterial SSU rRNA
Rfam family: Bacterial small subunit ribosomal RNA
Source: RNAcentral